RNAcentral lists this ribosomal RNA (482 nucleotides) under uncultured bacterium. Its description in RNAcentral is "bacterial SSU rRNA". It matches the Rfam family "Bacterial small subunit ribosomal RNA", at positions 43 to 518 of the family's 1533-position model. The record is from RNAcentral.
CAGGCUUAACACAUGCAAGUCGAGGGGCAGCGGGAUGUAGCAAUACAUGCCGGCGACCGGCGGAUGGGUGCGUAACGCGUAUGCAACCUACCUAUACAGGGGAAUAACCUUUCGAAAGGGAGACUAACACCCCAUAGUAUUGAUUUAAGGCAUCUUAGAUUAAUUAAAUAUUUAUAGGUAUAAGAUGGGCAUGCGUAUGAUUAGCUAGUUGGUAAGGUAACGGCUUACCAAGGCGACGAUCAUUAGGGGUUCUGAGAGGAAGGUCCCCCACACUGGUACUGAGACACGGACCAGACUCCUACGGGAGGCAGCAGUGAGGAAUAUUGGUCAAUGGGGCGCAAGCCUGAACCAGCCAUGCCGCGUGCAAGGAAGACGGCCUUAUGGGUUGUAAACUGCUUUUACAUAAGACUAACCGUAUAUUUGCGAAUAUACCUGAAUGUAUUAUGAGAAUAAGGAUCGGCUAACUCCGUGCCAGCCGCGGC